UGUGCACAAAUAAUCCAGUUGUAUUUGAAAACAAGAACCCUCCAAAGAGGUAUAGUAGGUACCUCCUAGUGUGUUGUAUUUUUACCUCCGGAGGAGAUUGUUCAUUGAAGUUAUUAUCGACCAGAUUAUCCUUUAACCACGACAAGGAGAGAGUAAAACCAUCAGUUUUGUGUGCCGGAGGAGUUAUUCCCAACAAAUGAGCACAAAGAUUCCACGGAAGAGUUGGAGGAGCCGUAACAAUUGAACCUCCAAAAGGUAAGCCGAGUAACAUAUAGACGUCUUCCAAAGUGAUAGUACACUCACCCGUUCGAAAGUGAAAAGUAUGGGUUUCGGACCGCCAUCUUUCUACAAGAGUGGUUACAAUGUGCCUAUCAAUUUUGUAACGCCCUAUUUGAGAAACCUCAAAAAAUCCAGCUUGACGUAGAUAAUCUUGAAUAAAAGGACUUGGUACUAUGUGUUGUCGUGUACGAGUGACAAGAGGUACACCCUCUGCAUCCUAACAAAAAAUAAAAAGAGAAGAUAUAAUAAGUAAUUUAAAAAAUGUAAGUAAAAUUAACAAAUUAAUAUUCAUA
Molecule: long non-coding RNA, 572 nt
Filed under: Medicago truncatula (barrel medic)
Lineage: Eukaryota; Viridiplantae; Streptophyta; Magnoliopsida; Fabales; Fabaceae
Description: long non-coding RNA (MTRU_LNC001833)
Source: RNAcentral